Molecule: ribosomal RNA, 465 nt
Filed under: Vreelandella stevensii
Lineage: Bacteria; Pseudomonadati; Pseudomonadota; Gammaproteobacteria; Oceanospirillales; Halomonadaceae
Description: partial 16S ribosomal RNA
Rfam family: Bacterial small subunit ribosomal RNA
Source: RNAcentral
CCUACGGGUGGCUGCAGUGGGGAAUAUUGGACAAUGGGCGAAAGCCUGAUCCAGCCAUGCCGCGUGUGUGAAGAAGGCCUUCGGGUUGUAAAGCACUUUCAGUGGGGAAGAAAGCCUUGGGGCUAAUACCCUCGAGGAAGGACAUCACCCACAGAAGAAGCACCGGCUAACUCCGUGCCAGCAGCCGCGGUAAUACGGAGGGUGCGAGCGUUAAUCGGAAUUACUGGGCGUAAAGCGCGCGUAGGCGGUCUGAUAAGCCGGUUGUGAAAGCCCCGGGCUCAACCUGGGAACGGCAUCCGGAACUGUCAGGCUAGAGUGCGGGAGAGGAAGGUAGAAUUCCCGGUGUAGCGGUGAAAUGCGUAGAGAUCGGGAGGAAUACCAGUGGCGAAGGCGGCCUUCUGGACUGACACUGACGCUGAGGUGCGAAAGCGUGGGUAGCAAACAGGAUUAGAUACCCCAGUAGUC